This 477-nucleotide ribosomal RNA is filed under the name uncultured bacterium. RNAcentral describes it as "partial 16S ribosomal RNA". It matches the Rfam family "Bacterial small subunit ribosomal RNA", at positions 28 to 523 of the family's 1533-position model. The record is from RNAcentral.
GACGAACGCUGGCGGCGUGCUUAACACAUGCAAGUCGAACGGUAAGGCCCUUCGGGGUACACGAGUGGCGAACGGGUGAGUAACACGUGGGCGAUCUGCCCUGCACCUCGGAUAAGCCUGGGAAACUGGGUCUAAUACCGGAUAGGACUCCGGACUGCAUGGUCUGGGGUGGAAAGCUUUUGCGGUGUGGGAUGGGCCCGCGGCCUAUCAGCUUGUUGGUGGGGUGAUGGCCUACCAAGGCGACGACGGGUAGCCGGCCUGAGAGGGUGACCGGCCACACUGGGACUGAGAUACGGCCCAGACUCCUACGGGAGGCAGCAGUGGGGAAUAUUGCAUAAUGGGCGCAAGCCUGAUGCAGCGACGCCGCGUGAGGGAUGACGGCCUUCGGGUUGUAAACCUCUUUCAGCAUCGACGAAGCGAAAGUGACGGUAGGUGCAGAAGAAGGACCGGCCAACUACGUGCCAGCCGCCGCGGUAA